GUGGUACCUUAAGAUGUUGGAGUUGGACAAGCGAUUCAUGAGCUGGAUCUCCUGAAGCAUGCUGUAGCGGUUGCUGGAGUUAAUGUUCAUUUUUAAUGCCAUCACCUGACCAGUUGACUUUGUGUCAAGACUGUUCAUGCAUUCUCGUCAGCCUUCUCCUAGUGACUGAUCUCUGAAAAGACCACUUUGUUCUAUGGCAAAAACAGAUUCAUCAGCCCUAUGCCUGUCACUUGACAGUAGAGAGGAGAUAUGUGAGAGAGGAUUACAUCACAAACAUCCAGACUGGGGGAGGAAGAACCUCCACUAUCUAGUUGUGACUAGUACAGUACUUUAUAUCAUGUACUUAUGUAUCGAAUUGCGUCGACACUAAUUUGAAUGACAAGCAUAUCUUUCAAAGAUGUGUAAAUCAUUCAACCACUGCUACCUAAUGAUAUAUGCACAGGUACUACAUGUAUACAGUACAAUAGCUGUAAUAGAUAAGUCACUUAAUAUCAUUUUUUUUUUAUAUCUUAAGUUGUUUAUUUAACCCUAAUAACUGGCUCAGCACAGAAAACUCUUUUCAUCUGGAGAAAUCAGUAAACUUUCAAAUUUCUGACUUUUUUUCCACAUUAGUACUAUUCUACAUGACAUAUAUAUGAAUCAUUAUAUUGCUUCAAGAUAUAAAUGCAUAAUGGAGAAAAAAUAGUUGGGCCAAUAUGAAAAAGAAAACCAGUGUUGGAUAAUUAAUACAUACAUAUGUAAGUAAGUUAAUUUGACCCAUGGGAUCUGGCCAACACUCAUAGACCCAAAUACUUAAUUAACACCAGCAUUUAACAGUUUUACAACUAUGAGCUCCUAAAAGUAAUUUAGAUCAUUGACUUUAUGAUUUAGCAAAAUAUAAUUGUCAGAAAAUGAAAAGUAUGUCCUUUAAGCUUAUCAUCAGUACAUUUGCUGUAACUUCAAUCCUCACAAGAUGUAUAUUGUUGGCAAAAGUACAAAUAUUCUGAUUUUCUGAUGGGAUAACAAACUAAUUAUCAUAAAACUAAAUACCAAAGGUAAACUAUUUCUCCUUUGAAACAUUGUAAUACAAUGCAUUCUGUACAUUAUUUAAAGUUAGCAUAAUUCAAAAUACCUUGAAGACUUCAGCAAAGAAUCCCUGUCCAACCUUUUCCAAAAUGAAAUCAUCUAGCCUUGUCAAGGCAGAUACUGCAUGUGUCAGGGCCUGGAAUGAUUUUGAUGAGGUCGGAUGAAAAGUUUCCGGAGAAUUUUCUUUUUCCUCUGCCCCUGAAGGGACGUAGUCCCCCUCCGCAAUGGUCCGGGAUCUCCGCAAGCUGGGUUUUGCAGAAGCCAUAUUCUCUAUCAACAUUAUGACCUCUUCUCGAAACGAGAAAGAGUUCGAAAAUAUGCACUCCGUAUCAUGUCAUUUUUUACGAGUUUGCAAUUUCUAUAUAUAAUGUUCGUAAAUGUUGGUUAUUCUGCUUAAUGCAUAAUCAGGGAAGUGAGCAAAUGUCAUUGGCCCUGUGCCAACUAAGUACCCGGCAAAAUUUCUUUUUCGUCACGAAAACAUCCGUAAUCUGAACACGAUUUAAACACUUGUCUGCUUAUCAUAUUCCACAAUUUAUCAUGUCACAGUAAAAUUAGUGUCCAAAAUAUUGAUGGCAAAACACUAUAACAUAUUUUAAUCAUGCCGUUCAAGUCAGAAACAUUUCACUUCGCAAUGUUUACCUCUACUUUCCACAAGUGUAAACUUUCUACUGC
Ostrea edulis (European flat oyster) is the source of this 1737-nucleotide long non-coding RNA. RefSeq lists it as uncharacterized. Lineage: Eukaryota; Metazoa; Mollusca; Bivalvia; Ostreida; Ostreidae. The transcript has 3 exons. The record is from RefSeq and is a predicted model, not a curated record.